Molecule: transfer RNA, 88 nt
Filed under: Amycolatopsis bullii
Lineage: Bacteria; Bacillati; Actinomycetota; Actinomycetes; Pseudonocardiales; Pseudonocardiaceae
Description: tRNA-Leu
Source: RNAcentral
AGACCAUGAGCCGCAGGUCGCUGCCCGCGACGCUGAGGACGUCGCAGUCCAGGGUCAGCGGGCCGACGUCCGGGUGGUCGAUGGUCUU